CUUCCCUCUCGGCAAAAAGACCAAGCGGGAAAGUCAUGUCGGCAGCACAUUUUGCCGAGGUUGUCCUGAGCGAUGGAGAUGUGGCAAUACUGACCCUCUCCUUGGUGUGUCACCACUUCAAAGAAGUGGUGUCAACAGAGCACUUCAGAAGAAAAGCUCAUUUCAUGUGGCUUAACAGUGUUGCAACUUGGAGCAAGUUCACUGAAAGGUACCGAGCAGAGUUUCGCAACAUGUAUUCCCUGGAAACGUGCAGAGAGUGCAACGAGACC
Molecule: long non-coding RNA, 269 nt
Organism: Epinephelus moara (kelp grouper)
Lineage: Eukaryota; Metazoa; Chordata; Actinopteri; Perciformes; Serranidae
Exons: 3
Source: RefSeq, a predicted model, not a curated record